RNAcentral lists this ribosomal RNA (456 nucleotides) under uncultured soil bacterium. RNAcentral describes it as "bacterial SSU rRNA". It matches the Rfam family "Bacterial small subunit ribosomal RNA", at positions 26 to 491 of the family's 1533-position model. The record is from RNAcentral.
AGAUUGAACGCUGGCGGCAUGCCUUACACAUGCAAGUCGAACGGCAGCACGGGAGCAAUCCUGGUGGCGAGUGGCGAACGGGUGAGUAAUACAUCGGAACGUGCCCAGUUGUGGGGGAUAGCCCGGCGAAAGCCGGAUUAAUACCGCAUACGACCUACGGGUGAAAGCGGGGGAUCGCAAGACCUCGCGCUAUUGGAGCGGCCGAUGUCGGAUUAGCUUGUUGGUAGGGUAAAAGCCUACCAAGGCUACGAUCCGUAGCUGGUCUGAGAGGACGACCAGCCACACUGGGACUGAGACACCGGCCCAGACUCCUACGGGAGCAGCAGUGGGGAAUUUGGACAAGUGGGCGCAAGCCUGAUCCAGCCAUGCCGCGUGGCGGGAAGAAGGCCUUCGGGGUUGUAAACCGGUCUUUGUCGAGGAAGAAACGGUUCGAGCUAAUACCUUGACGUACUAAGU